RNAcentral lists this ribosomal RNA (468 nucleotides) under uncultured bacterium. RNAcentral's name for it is "partial 16S ribosomal RNA". It matches the Rfam family "Bacterial small subunit ribosomal RNA", at positions 28 to 507 of the family's 1533-position model. The record is from RNAcentral.
GACGAACGCUGGCGGCGUGCUUAACACAUGCAAGUCGAACGGAAAGGCCCUGCUUUUGUGGGGUGCUCGAGUGGCGAACGGGUGAGUAGCACGUGAGUAACCUGCCCUUGACUUUGGGAUAACUUCAGGAAACUGGGGCUAAUACCGGAUAGGAGCUCCUGCUGCAUGGUGGGGGUUGGAAAGUUUCGGCGGUUGGGGAUGGACUCGCGGCUUAUCAGCUUGUUGGUGGGGUAGUGGCUUACCAAGGCUUUGACGGGUAGCCGGCCUGAGAGGGUGACCGGCCACAUUGGGACUGAGAGACGGCCCAGACUCCUACGGGAGGCAGCAGUGGGGAAUAUUGCACAAUGGGCGGAAGCCUGAUGCAGCAACGCCGCGUGCGUGAUGACGGCCUUCGGGUUGUAAACCGCUUUCGCCUGUGACGAAGCGUGAGUGACGGUAAUGGGUAAAGAAGCACCGGCUAACUACGUG